GACGAACGCUGGCGGCGUGCUUAACACAUGCAAGUCGAACGAAGAGCGAUGGAAGCUUGCUUCUAUCAAUCUUAGUGGCGAACGGGUGAGUAACGCGUAAUCAACCUGCCCUUCAGAGGGGGACAACAGUUGGAAACGACUGCUAAUACCGCAUACGAUCUAAUCUCGGCAUCGAGGAUAGAUGAAAGGUGGCCUCUACAUGUAAGCUAUCACUGAAGGAGGGGAUUGCGUCUGAUUAGCUAGUUGGAGGGGUAACGGCCCACCAAGGCGAUGAUCAGUAGCCGGGCUGAGAGGAUGAACGGCCACAUUGGGACUGAGACAUGGCCCAGACUCCUACGGGAGGCAGCAGUGGGGAAUCUUCCGCAAUGGACGAAAGUCUGACGGAGCAACGCCGCGUGAGUGAUGACGGCCUUCGGGUUGUAAAGCUCUGUUAAUCGGGACGAAAGGCCUUCUUGCGAACAGUUAGAAGGAUUGACGGUACCGGAAUAGAAAGCCACGGCUAACUACGUG
This 510-nucleotide ribosomal RNA is filed under the name uncultured bacterium. Its description in RNAcentral is "partial 16S ribosomal RNA". It matches the Rfam family "Bacterial small subunit ribosomal RNA", at positions 28 to 507 of the family's 1533-position model. The record is from RNAcentral.